AGCUGCAGUCACAAACCAAGAUGUGCCCGCCCGAUAAAGGAGUGAAGCUCUGCUGCUAGCACAGAUGUCGCCAUAGUCUCGAGGCACCGUCUGGCAAGGCGAGAGGCUCUGCUUGUAGCACAGUCGCUACCAUAGUCCCGAUGCCCUUUCUGGGUAGGUAAGCAACCAACUAUCCUGCACUGUUUUUUUUUUUUUUUUUUAGUUUGUAAUGCAUGUAUUGUGAAAUUGGGCUUGGUGCCUAGCUAGGUCACGUUUACUAAUGACUAUUUGAACCUAGGUGUGAUGCCAUCAUUGUCCCAAGGCA
Molecule: long non-coding RNA, 304 nt
Organism: Ixodes scapularis (black-legged tick)
Lineage: Eukaryota; Metazoa; Arthropoda; Arachnida; Ixodida; Ixodidae
Exons: 3
Source: RefSeq, a predicted model, not a curated record